AACCCGACUCCGUGAAGCUGGAUUCGCUAGUAAUCGCGCAUCAGCCACGGCGCGGUGAAUACGUUCCCGGGCCUUGUACACACCGCCCGUCAAGCCAUGGGAGCCGGGGGUGCUUGAAGUGCGUCGCCGCAAGGCGCGCCCUAGAGCAAAACCGGUGACUGGGGCUAAGUCGUAACAAGGUAGC
This 184-nucleotide ribosomal RNA is filed under the name uncultured bacterium. Its description in RNAcentral is "partial 16S ribosomal RNA". It matches the Rfam family "Bacterial small subunit ribosomal RNA", at positions 1309 to 1500 of the family's 1533-position model. The record is from RNAcentral.